RNAcentral lists this ribosomal RNA (253 nucleotides) under uncultured bacterium. RNAcentral describes it as "partial 16S ribosomal RNA". It matches the Rfam family "Bacterial small subunit ribosomal RNA", at positions 524 to 776 of the family's 1533-position model. The record is from RNAcentral.
UACGUAGGGCGCAAGCGUUAUCCGGAAUUAUUGGGCGCAAAGAGCUCGUAGGCGGUUUGUCGCGUCUGCCGUGAAAGUCCGGGGCUCAACUCCGGAUCUGCGGUGGGUACGGGCAGACUAGAGUGAUGUAGGGGAGACUGGAAUUCCUGGUGUAGCGGUGAAAUGCGCAGAUAUCAGGAGGAACACCGAUGGCGAAGGCAGGUCUCUGGGCAUUAACUGACGCUGAGGAGCGAAAGCCAGGGGAGCAAACGGG